This 301-nucleotide ribosomal RNA is filed under the name uncultured bacterium. Its description in RNAcentral is "partial 16S ribosomal RNA". It matches the Rfam family "Bacterial small subunit ribosomal RNA", at positions 509 to 807 of the family's 1533-position model. The record is from RNAcentral.
CAGCAGCCGCGGUAACACAGAGGGUGCGAGCGUUAAUCGGAUUUACUGGGCGUAAAGCGUGCGUAGGCGGCUUCUUAAGUCGGAUGUGAAAUCCCUGAGCUUAACUUAGGAAUUGCAUUCGAUACUGGGAAGCUAGAGUAUGGGAGAGGAUGGUAGAAUUCCAGGUGUAGCGGUGAAAUGCGUAGAGAUCUGGAGGAAUACCGAUGGCGAAGGCAGCCAUCUGGCCUAAUACUGACGCUGAGGUACGAAAGCAUGGGGAGCAAACAGGAUUAGAUACCCCUGUAGUCCCUGUCUCUUAUAC